Molecule: long non-coding RNA, 2532 nt
Organism: Paramormyrops kingsleyae
Lineage: Eukaryota; Metazoa; Chordata; Actinopteri; Osteoglossiformes; Mormyridae
Source: RefSeq, a predicted model, not a curated record
GCAGGGCACCCAGCACACAGACGAUUAGCCCGCUGCAGGCCAAGUAUAACACAGCCUUUGACUUAUGCUAUGGUGAGCGAUGAAAUGUAGUGAGAAAUGUAAUUUCAAAAAAUGGGAAAAGAAAAUGGAGGAUGACGGAAGGAAACCUUACAGGUCUUCACCUGUCAAGAUGAAGAUCCCUAAAAACACUGGACACUAGGUGGAUACAGACCCUGGGAGCCACUGGAUGUUGUUUCUACAAAGCACGGAACCAGGUUGAAUAUCGGGUCUCUGGAGCCUGACUUAAAUAUACUGCUUCCUCUGGUUACAGCUCAGAUCGUCACUUAGCAACACAUGACCGUUUUCAUUGGACAGCAGCCUUGCAUCUCAUUGGGUACAUUCCCUUAGCUCCCACUUGGGUGAGCCAAUGGUCACAAUGACAAAGGUUUCACAUGAUCACUAACCAGUCUUUUGUUGUCUUUUAAUUUAUAUGGUCUUGGAUCUUUCCCCCCUCUGUACCAAAGUUUUGGGUUUGACAGCACAAAGAAAAGCUUAAGAACAGAUUUUCAUUACCUGUAGGGAUGUAGCGUCCUAGAGAGUUAGCUGGUAUGCCAGCUAAUUUGUUUAAACCUAUUCAACCCUGAAAUUUGCUCAUAAAAAGCUCCUUUUGUGAGCACUGAACUUACACAGGUUAUUUUUGAGAAGUAUGAUUCCACCCCCUUUUUUGGGAGGUGUCAGGGAAUCAUUUUUGGAUUUUCCUUCCACCCAUCCACGUACACAGGACAAAAGGUAGCACUCAGAAUAUUCCAUUUUUCUGGCACGACUAAAAGCCUGUUGUGCAGUAUUAUAAGUCACUAUAUAAGCCAAACUUAUUACUUAUACAACUAAAUAUAUAACCUGACCAUACAAAUCAUUAGUUCCUGAGCAACAAAGGAGACAUUAGAAUUUUGAUUUACAUGUAAAUAUAAUAUAGUGUAGUGUAGUAUAGUAUACUAUAGUAUAGUACAGUACAGUAUAGUAUAGCCCACAAAUGAGAAAAAGAUUUGAAAAAUCAAACCAAUAAACUUGCAAAUGUACCCUCAUUUGCUGAUAAAAAUCAUUUUAGACAGGAACGUCAUAAGCAGACUCCUACAGACAAUAUAGUUAAAAUAAACCGCUUUUCAGAGCAGUUAUGCAUCGCCAGGAUUCUCAAGCAAUUUUGAAACAACCCUUACACGGCGUUGCCAAAAUCAUCCACAAAGGGGCGCCCCAUCACCACACAUAGAUCAACAUUAGCGUCCAGUGUGACACGUGCCUAAGUCUCAUAACCCCGGAUUUUUUACAUUCUAAGAAUGCCUUUUACAUCGUUGCGAUUUUGACCCUAUAAACACCUGGCUAUACCAAUAUACUUACACUAUAUUUUAAUAGCUAUUAUAUAGUGUUUAUUUUAUAUCUUUUACAGUGAUUUUCGGUCAAAUCAAUGUUAAGAAAAUAUCACAACACCCUGGGGUGUCUGACAAAGCCAACAGCUUUCGUCUAGAAAACUGCACUGCAGUGUGCCUGGAAAGGGAAAAUCAGUUUUCCCUCGUUUCGUAUUUCAAGAUACUUCAUCCAAUUACCAUAAUGAGUCUGGCACCUCUAAAAUCAAACACUGCGUACUGCUGAGAGUUUUUCUCGUCAGACAGGGGAGGGGAGAAGCCCACAGCUGUAUGGUACCUGCUUAAAAUCACCCUCCAGUUCGGUGCGCUUCAGCUCCCAGAAACUCCGCAUCGUCUCCACCCUCUCCGGCGGCCGGAAGAAGUCUAGUUUCCCGGCGCAAAGGCGAUCGGACCGGCUUCGUAUGGCGCUGAACCCCGACACCUUGAUGGAUGACAUGCUGGAUAGAGCAGCCCAUUCUGGUGAUAGGACACGCCGGGGAUCUCUUGAAAAAUCCGGCUGGCUCGAAGUUACUGCUGGUGUUUUGUCUACACUGAAAUAAACAAAAACCAAACGCCUGUUAGAGGUUUUGUAGCUGCUCGAGUGUGAGCAACAUUUGUGAUCACAAUCGAUCUGUACUACAAAGUAUUAAAAUAAAAAAUCAAACGAAAUCUUGACAUAUAAUGGUAGAUUUUUGAUUUUCAAGGAUGUCAUACGUGACCUAUGUAAUUAUGCUUCAGCUGAAUGGGAUCAGUAACAUUUGGAUACAUGAUAUGCACUUUGGCGUUCUUUGGUGUAAUAUUUUAGCGUCAUUGAAUAAAGCAUAUCACUUUAAUUUAUACUACUCAGCAUUUUAUGUAAAUACACGAUUCGUGCUUUCUGUUAAUAAUCCUACAAGUUUCAUGGGGAAAACUCGAUUUGUGAAAGGGUAAAGAAUCUAUUUCAGAUUUGCCAUUACUGGCAUCUCUAUCAUGGUUUCAAACGGUCUGUUACUAAGGUUGCCACCUGUCCCGGGUUCCCCGGGAUUGUUUUUUGAGCAGCUGUACCGGAAAAUUAAUAUUCUUUCACGGGACAUGAAUUGUUCCGAUUUUAUGCGAAAAUGUACAUCUAAUUUAGAGCUUCGUAGCUUCAAAUAAAGACUCACUUGGUUUCCUUCUA